UUAGUGGCGGACUGGUGAGUAACACGUGAGCAACCUGCCUAUCAGAGGGGAAUAACAGUGAGAAAUCAUUGCUAAUACCGCAUAUGCCAUAAAUAUCACAUGAUGAAAGUGGGAAAGGAGUAAUCCGCUGAUAGAUGGGCUCGCGUCUGAUUAGAUAGUUGGUGGGGUAACGGCCUACCAAGUCGACGAUCAGUAGCCGGACUGAGAGGUUGAACGGCCACAUUGGGACUGAGAUACGGCCCAGACUCC
Molecule: ribosomal RNA, 249 nt
Filed under: uncultured Oscillospiraceae bacterium
Lineage: Bacteria; Bacillati; Bacillota; Clostridia; Eubacteriales; Oscillospiraceae
Description: partial 16S ribosomal RNA
Rfam family: Bacterial small subunit ribosomal RNA
Source: RNAcentral